RNAcentral lists this unclassified non-coding RNA (287 nucleotides) under uncultured Clavicipitaceae. Its description in RNAcentral is "sequence contains 5.8S rRNA gene". The stretch from base 1 to 53 matches the Rfam family "5.8S ribosomal RNA", at positions 102 to 154 of the family's 154-position model. The record is from RNAcentral. Lineage: Eukaryota; Fungi; Ascomycota; Sordariomycetes; Hypocreales; Clavicipitaceae.
GAACGCACAUUGCGCCCGCCAGUAUUCUGGCGGGCAUGCCUGUUCGAGCGUCAUUUCAACCCUCAAGACCCCUUCGGGGGACUUGGUGUUGGGGACCGGCACAGGGGCCUGCCUGCUUGUCUUGCAGCGCCCUCGCCGCCCCCGAAAUGAAUUGGCGGCCUCGUCGCGGCCUCCCCUGCGUAGUAGCACAACCUCGCAACGGGAACGUGACGGCGGCCACUGCCGUAAAACAACCCCAAUUUUAUUAGAGUUGAUCUCAAAUCAGGUAGGACUACCCGCUGAACUUA